CGGAAGGUAUCCAAUACUAUUGUAAUUAAACAAAGGUUGCUCUGUAUGUUGGUGGUCUUUAUGUUUGUGGAAAGAUUGGAUGGGAAUCUGUAAUAAAAAAGGGAUUAGACACACAAGAACUGUUCUUCCACAAAAAUUUUCUGUAUUAUAACCCUCUCGUUCUGAUAGUAAGUCUUUGUCUUAUCAGUAAGUCAGAACCCUUAACAUGUCUUGUUUCCUCUAAUAUAUAUUCUAUUACGUUUAGACAAUUAUGGUUUGGCUCUGUGGUGUUAACUUGUGGGUGUUUUCUCAGACCGGGGUCGAUUAUGCAUCAAUAUUUUAUCUAGGACCAGAUCAUCUUAGUCACAAAGAGAUAUGGAAGGUACUACAAUUCUUAGUUAGGACCAUCUUUAUCCUUUUUUCAUGCAUUUCUGAAAAUCUGCGUGUGUCAUAGUGUGCUAGGUGGAUGAUACACGAUAAUAUUGACUAGCAUGACUGCGUAUAUGUAUUUAUACUCGCAUGGAGAUGUAUCAUUGGCUGCAUCUCAACCAGUUUUAUAAACAACAACAAAGCUUUUGUGUAGGUUUUUAUGUCGUAUGGUCCAUCAACAGAUCAGUAGUUAUUGUUGCAUGAAGAAAAAGAAGAUGGAUUUAGGAGAAUUAACAUAAUUCUCAUAAGACUAGGAAUCUCCAAUAUGAGUAUACAUUUAAGGCAUCCUCGAAGACGUUUAAGCAUCCAAUUAAAAGGAGAGAAGAGCAAUAAGAAAUGGACAGAAACCAAGACAAUUAGCAAUUAGAAAGAGUGUUUUAUUGCUUUGCCUUGUGAUAUUUAUAGUUUGUUCUUGAGAAACCUAUUGGUAGUGAAUAAAGGGAAGGAUAAGUUUUGGUAUCAAAUUUAUUCA
Brassica oleracea var. oleracea is the source of this 880-nucleotide long non-coding RNA. RefSeq lists it as uncharacterized. The transcript has 5 exons. Lineage: Eukaryota; Viridiplantae; Streptophyta; Magnoliopsida; Brassicales; Brassicaceae. The record is from RefSeq and is a predicted model, not a curated record.